AUGAAUUGUUAGGACGCUCUUUUUAGAGGUCCGACCCCUUCAUUUCCUUACACUGUGCACACACUUCUUUUUCACACAUUUUUAACACAUCAGUCUAAAGAAUGUAAACAGUCUCUUAAUUGAGCAUAAAAUAGAUA
Molecule: unclassified non-coding RNA, 137 nt
Filed under: uncultured Occultifur
Lineage: Eukaryota; Fungi; Basidiomycota; Cystobasidiomycetes; Erythrobasidiales; Erythrobasidiaceae
Description: sequence contains ITS1
Source: RNAcentral